AUUGAACGCUGGCGGCAUGCCUUACACAUGCAAGUCGAACGGUAACGGGCCUUCGGGUGCCGACGAGUGGCGAACGGGUGAGUAAUACAUCGGAACGUGCCAGAUCGUGGGGGAUAACGAGGCGAAAGCUUUGCUAAUACCGCAUACGAUCUACGGAUGAAAGCAGGGGACCGCAAGGCCUUGCGCGGACGGAGCGGCCGAUGGCAGAUUAGGUAGUUGGUGGGAUAAAAGCUUACCAAGCCGACGAUCUGUAGCUGGUCUGAGAGGAUGAUCAGCCACACUGGGACUGAGACACGGCCCAGACUCCUACGGGAGGCAGCAGUGGGGAAUUUUGGUCAAUGGGCGCAAGCCUGAUCCAGCCAUGCCGCGUGCAGGGUGAAGGCCUUCGGGUUGUAAACUGCUUUUGUACGGAACGAAAAGCCUUCUUUUAAUACAGGAGGGUCAUGACGGUACCGUAAGAAUAAGCACCGGCUAACUACGUG
This 482-nucleotide ribosomal RNA is filed under the name uncultured bacterium. RNAcentral's name for it is "partial 16S ribosomal RNA". It matches the Rfam family "Bacterial small subunit ribosomal RNA", at positions 30 to 507 of the family's 1533-position model. The record is from RNAcentral.